UUUCAAAACCUGCCAUUGAACAAGCCUCUCGCAUGAGCUCUUCGGCUGAGACUAAAUCCUUCUGAUGAAAGGAAAUCAAACCCCUCACCAGGUUAUACACAGCUAUCCACAUAUUCCAUGAAUUUGCACCGCAUUCUUCAAAACACACCCAAAGAAAUAACAAAGACGUACCAUGACAUAGAAAAAGGCAGCUUUCAAAACCUGCCAUUGAACAAGCCUCUCGCAUGAGCUCUUCGGCUGAGACUAAAUCCUUCUGAUGAAAGGAAAUCAAACCCCUCACCAGGUUAUACACAGCUAUCCACAUAUUCCAUGAAUUUGCACCCUUUUUAAGGCAUUCUUCAAAGUUCGAAUCAAUGAGAUUUGAAUCAAUUUGCAAUUGAUAAUGGCAUUCCAUAAGUUUGAGAGACAUCCAACCAAUAUGGCAAUC
This 427-nucleotide long non-coding RNA is filed under the name Arachis ipaensis. RNAcentral describes it as "long non-coding RNA (AIPA_LNC001889)". The record is from RNAcentral. Lineage: Eukaryota; Viridiplantae; Streptophyta; Magnoliopsida; Fabales; Fabaceae.